ACCGAAAGAUGAGUUCUCUCACAGAGUAAUCUGGUAAGUCCCCAUGCAGAUCACGUGGUUGAUAGGAUGCAGAUAGAAGUAUGGCAACAUAUGUAGUCGAGCAUUACUAAUAGGACGAGGGCUUUUCCUA
This 130-nucleotide ribosomal RNA is filed under the name Candidatus Limenecus avicola. RNAcentral's name for it is "partial 23S ribosomal RNA". It matches the Rfam family "Bacterial large subunit ribosomal RNA", at positions 2796 to 2925 of the family's 2925-position model. The record is from RNAcentral. Lineage: Bacteria; Bacillati; Candidatus Melainabacteria; Candidatus Gastranaerophilales; Candidatus Gastranaerophilaceae.